Molecule: non-coding RNA, 996 nt
Organism: Malus domestica (apple)
Lineage: Eukaryota; Viridiplantae; Streptophyta; Magnoliopsida; Rosales; Rosaceae
Source: RefSeq, a predicted model, not a curated record
GAUGGGCCCCUAAGCGAAUACCAUCGUCCGUCGGGCCACAAGAAAACCCAACUUCUCCUUCUCGUUCUUUUCCCUCUCUGCUCCAGAACGUUUGACGACCAAAACGACGCCGUGCAACGGAUCCCUGCGAUCGCGGCCGAACCGAUUCAGAAGAAUCAAAUCAACGACGACCCUUAAUCGCAUGGAUUACAACGAUUCGUGGCGCGGAAGCGAUUAAAUCUUUCGUAAUCGCACGGAAACGUUCUGGAUACAAGAGGGUCACUAAAGGUGCGGGAAUAAAUUGGUAUCGAACUCUCCAUCCACGAGAUUUGGACCAAGACCUACGACUGUGCAUAUUGAGAUUUCGUCAUUCAGUUUUGUUGUAUUUGCCAAGGCUUCCAUGUGUCGCAAUGGCAGAUCAAUAUCCGGUUUGCGAGUCUCAAUCGUCCAGGCAUAAUCAUCCGAAGCGAUCAAGACCUGCCAAGGAAAUCGUUACCAAAUUUCAUUUAAAAUGGUUGUAAUGAACUUUGAAGUUUAUUUUCUACAGAAUGCAAGAUGUUGAUGUUCGUGGCUAGACUUUCUGUCGGGGAUGUCUCCUAGCCGACGAGCACAUAGCCCCCCGAGAGGUUGGUGCCGGUUGAUGCUUUCUGUCGAGCUUCUGCUUCACUGGCGGGCUUGUCGGGCAAGGCUGAAAGAGAAGGACAUAGUUAACUUUGAAAUGUGCCUUGGUGGGGCCUUAGGUAUAGGCCUUGAGGCUCACAAUCAAGAUUAACUUUUAAGUGCUCAGGCGUGCCACUGUCAUCUUUAACAUGGUAGAUGUAAAAUGGAUGUUGAGUUUUAGUUGUACAUAUACCCUUAGUUGUACAUAUACCUGAGAGGCUGUGUUAGUUAUGACAGAUGCCUUUGUGGGGCCUUAGGUGUAGGCCUUGAGGCUUCAAAUCAAGAACUAACCCAGCACUCGAAUAUAUGAUGUCUGUUUCAUUGAUUGCAGAAGUGUUAUAACUAUUAUACUUCUGA